RNAcentral lists this ribosomal RNA (253 nucleotides) under uncultured bacterium. Its description in RNAcentral is "partial 16S ribosomal RNA". It matches the Rfam family "Bacterial small subunit ribosomal RNA", at positions 524 to 776 of the family's 1533-position model. The record is from RNAcentral.
UACGUAGGGUGCAAGCGUUGUCCGGAAUUAUUGGGCGUAAAGAGCUCGUAGGUGGUUUGUCGCGUUGUCCGUGAAAACUCACAGCUCAACUGUGGGCGUGCGGGCGAUACGGGCAGACUGGAGUACUGCAGGGGAGACUGGAAUUCCUGGUGUAGCGGUGGAAUGCGCAGAUAUCAGGAGGAACACCGGUGGCGAAGGCGGGUCUCUGGGCAGUAACUGACGCUGAGGAGCGAAAGCGUGGGGAGCAAACAGG